Long non-coding RNA from Marmota monax (woodchuck), 830 nucleotides. RefSeq lists it as uncharacterized. NCBI's taxonomy places the organism in Eukaryota, Metazoa, Chordata, Mammalia, Rodentia, Sciuridae. The record is from RefSeq and is a predicted model, not a curated record. The transcript has 3 exons.
AGCUGGUUCUUUUCUGGAGGCUAUUGGUGCUUACUGGAGGAUGCCAGGCAGGGUCUUAGCCCUUAGGCCCUUGGGCCCUUAGGCUGAUGGCUGAGCUGGCAGCGCUCAGGUUGCCGUGCGGUGGUGUUUGGAAACACAAGGGCCAACAUUUGAGGGAAUUCAGGAAAAUCUUAAGCAGUUACACAUGCUUAACCUUGUAUUACCAGAUGCAGUUGCAAAUAAGGGGCUAGACCGUGAAACCAACCUUACUUUUAUAUUUCGAUUUGUUAGUCAUUUUAUCAGUCUCCAAAAUUAAUAUAAUUAGAAGGAAUUCUAUUUUUAAUUACUUUUAUGUACUAUGCUCAACAUUGAUCCUUGCUUUUGGUGAUUUUUAUAAAGUGAAAACGGAGAAGCUCAAGAGAAUUCCUUCACAUUAAAGGACAAUGUGAUUCAAAGAAAACUUGGGUGUGAAUUUCAGCUAUGCUGUUGAUUACUUGGACAAUCAGUUCACUUGCUCAGGAAAAAAAAAAAAAAUGAGGCCAUAUGUAAGAAGAAUCCAGUAUAUCCUCUAGUUAGGAAGUUCAACUGGUUAUAAUUAAAAGUGCACCCAACUAACAGCAGAGACUUACUCAGAACGCAUCAUGGUUGAAGUUCUGUAUCUGCCAGUGUGAUAUCUUGGAACUUAAGUCUAAGAGGAGUAGUUGGACUCAUGCAGAGAGAACUGAAUGUUGAAAAUCUUCCAAAAUCGACUGUAGUGACGUUUGCACAACUCCUUGGAUAUACGAAAAAUCACUGAAUUGUAUUUUUAUGCCAAGUGAAUUAUUUCUCAAUAAAGCUGUUAUUUUUUUUUU